This 406-nucleotide ribosomal RNA is filed under the name uncultured bacterium. RNAcentral describes it as "partial 16S ribosomal RNA". It matches the Rfam family "Bacterial small subunit ribosomal RNA", at positions 30 to 526 of the family's 1533-position model. The record is from RNAcentral.
AUUGAACGCUGGCGGCAGGCCUAACACAUGCAAGUCGAACGAGCGGCGGACGGGUGAGUAAUGUCUGGGAAACUGCCCGAUGGAGGGGGAUAACUACUGGAAACGGUGGCUAAUACCGCAUACCAUCGGAUGUGCCCAGAUGGGAUUAGCUAUGAGGUGGGGUAACGGCUCACCUAGGCGACGAUCCCUAGCUGGUCUGAGAGGAUGACCAGCCACACUGGGACUGAGACACGGCCCAGACUCCUACGGGAGGCAGCAGUGGGGAAUAUUGGACAAUGGGCGAAAGCCUGAUCCAGCCAUGCCGCGUGUGUGAAGAAGGUCUUCGGGUUGUAAAGCACUUUAAGUUGGGAGGCGUUACCCACAGAAUAAGCACCGGCUAACUUCGUGCCAGCAGCCGCGGUAAUAC